UGGGGAAUUUUGGACAAUGGGCGAAAGCCUGAUCCAGCCAUGCCGCGUGUGUGAAGAAGGCCUUCGGGUUGUAAAGCACUUUCAGCGAGGAGGAAGGUGGUGAGCUUAAUACGCUCAUCAAUUGACGUUACUCGCAGAAGAAGCACCGGCUAACUCCGUGCCAGCAGCCGCGGUAAUACGGAGGGUGCAAGCGUUAAUCGGAAUUACUGGGCGUAAAGCGCACGCAGGCGGUUUGUUAAGUCAGAUGUGAAAUCCCCGGGCUCAACCUGGGAACUGCAUUUGAAACUGGCAAGCUAGAGUCUCGUAGAGGGGGGUAGAAUUCCAGGUGUAGCGGUGAAAUGCGUAGAGAUCUGGAGGAAUACCGGUGGCGAAGGCGGCCCCCCUGGACGAAGACUGACGCUCAGGUGCGAAAGCGUGGGGAGCAAAACAGGAUUAGAUACCCUGGUAGUCCACGCUGUAAAACGAUGUCGAUUUGGAGGUUGUGCCCUUGAGGCGUGGCUUCCGGAGCUAACGCGUUAAAAUCGACCGCCUGGGGGAGUACGGCCGCAAAGGUUAAAAACUCAAAAUGAAUUGACGGGGUCAUAGCUGUUUCC
RNAcentral lists this ribosomal RNA (593 nucleotides) under uncultured bacterium. RNAcentral describes it as "partial 16S ribosomal RNA". It matches the Rfam family "Bacterial small subunit ribosomal RNA", at positions 355 to 937 of the family's 1533-position model. The record is from RNAcentral.